This 469-nucleotide ribosomal RNA is filed under the name uncultured bacterium. RNAcentral describes it as "partial 16S ribosomal RNA". It matches the Rfam family "Bacterial small subunit ribosomal RNA", at positions 27 to 507 of the family's 1533-position model. The record is from RNAcentral.
GGACGAACGCUGGCGGCGUGCUUAACACAUGCAAGUCGAACGGAAAGGCCCUGCUUUUGUGGGGUGCCCGAGUGGCGAACGGGUGAGUAACACGUGAGUAACCUGCCCUUGACUUUGGGAUAACUUCAGGAAACUGGGGCUAAUACCGGAUAGGAGCUCCUGCUGCAUGGUGGGGGUUGGAAAGUUUCGGCGGUUGGGGAUGGACUCGCGGCUUAUCAGCUUGUUGGUGGGGUAGUGGCUUACCAAGGCUUUGACGGGUAGCCGGCCUGAGAGGGUGACCGGCCACAUUGGGACUGAGAUACGGCCCAGACUCCUACGGGAGGCAGCAGUGGGGAAUAUUGCACAAUGGGCGGAAGCCUGAUGCAGCAACGCCGCGUGCGGGAUGACGGCCUUCGGGUUGUAAACCGCUUUCGCCUGUGACGAAGCGUGAGUGACGGUAAUGGGUAAAGAAGCACCGGCUAACUACGUG